UACGAAGGGUGCAAGCGUUACUCGGAAUUACUGGGCGUAAAGCGUGCGUAGGUGGUGAGUUAAGUCUGUCGUGAAAGCCCCGGGCUCAACCUGGGAAUGGCGAUGGAUACUGGCUCGCUAGAGUGCGGUAGAGGAGAGUGGAAUUCCCGGUGUAGCAGUGAAAUGCGUAGAUAUCGUGAGGAAGACCAGUUGCGAAGGCGGAUCUCUGGGCAGUUCCUGACACUGAGGCACGAAGGCCAGGGGAGCAAACGGG
Molecule: ribosomal RNA, 253 nt
Filed under: uncultured bacterium
Lineage: Bacteria
Description: partial 16S ribosomal RNA
Rfam family: Bacterial small subunit ribosomal RNA
Source: RNAcentral